AUGCCAUCCUGGAAUGACGAGGAGAGCUCGGACGAGGACAUCAACAUGGUUUCAAUGGAUCCUCAGCUCUUUGAAACCCAUGACAGUGUGGUGGAACCAUCUUUCUGUGGUUCUUACACUAAAUCUGAGCCGACGUGCAUGAUGCAUCAUCAGAGGCCGAAGAAGAUGGUGGAUUUUGAAGGUGUGAACUGUGGGGUUGUGGAGUGGGUGGAUGGUCCUUGGCCAGAGAUUCUACAAAGGUGCCUAACAAGGAUUUGGGACAUGUACCAUGAGAAGAACUUGGGGAGGGUGAAGGACAAAUAA
Molecule: ribosomal RNA, 303 nt
Filed under: Triticum aestivum (bread wheat)
Lineage: Eukaryota; Viridiplantae; Streptophyta; Magnoliopsida; Poales; Poaceae
Description: partial small subunit ribosomal RNA
Source: RNAcentral